CCCACAAGGAUGCUGCUCACUAAUUUGCC
RNAcentral lists this non-coding RNA (29 nucleotides) under Mus musculus (house mouse). The record is from RNAcentral. Lineage: Eukaryota; Metazoa; Chordata; Mammalia; Rodentia; Muridae.